UACGUAGGGUGCGAGCGUUGUCCGGAAUUAUUGGGCGUAAAGGGCUCGUAGGCGGUUUGUCGCGUCGGGAGUGAAAACUCAGGGCUUAACCCUGAGCCUGCUUCCGAUACGGGCAGACUAGAGGUAUGCAGGGGAGAACGGAAUUCCUGGUGUAGCGGUGAAAUGCGCAGAUAUCAGGAGGAACACCAAUAGCGAAGGCAGCUCGCUGGGACGUUACUGACACUGAGGCGCGAAAGCGUGGGGAGCGAACAGG
This 253-nucleotide ribosomal RNA is filed under the name uncultured bacterium. Its description in RNAcentral is "partial 16S ribosomal RNA". It matches the Rfam family "Bacterial small subunit ribosomal RNA", at positions 524 to 776 of the family's 1533-position model. The record is from RNAcentral.